Molecule: ribosomal RNA, 406 nt
Filed under: uncultured bacterium
Lineage: Bacteria
Description: partial 16S ribosomal RNA
Rfam family: Bacterial small subunit ribosomal RNA
Source: RNAcentral
AUUGAACGCUGGCGGCAUGCUUUACACAUGCAAGUCGGACGAGUGGCGAACGGGUGAGUAACAUAUCGGAACGUACCGAGUAAUGGGGGAUAACUAAUCGAAAGGUUAGCUAAUACCGCCUAUUAUUCGAGCGGCCGAUAUCGUAUUCGCUGGUUGGUGGGGUAAAGGCCUACCAAGGCGACUAUCAGUAGCGGGUCUGAGAGGAUGUUCCGAAACACGUGGCCUGAGACACGGCACAGACUCCUACGGGAGGCAGCAGUGGGGAAUCUGGUACAAUGGGCGCAAGCCUGAUCAAGCCAUGCCGCGUGUCUGAAGAAGGCCUUCGGGUUGUAAAGGACUUUUGUCAGGGAAGCGGUACCGGAAUAGAAAGCCCCGGCUAACUACGUGCCAGCAGCCGCGGUAAUAC